Long non-coding RNA from Gouania willdenowi (blunt-snouted clingfish), 4036 nucleotides. Ensembl annotates it as mucin-5AC-like. Lineage: Eukaryota; Metazoa; Chordata; Actinopteri; Blenniiformes; Gobiesocidae. The record is from Ensembl.
AUGACUCACCAUUCUUCUUCAUUAAAUUCUCUGCCACAAUCUACCACAAUUUUAACGCAAGCUUUGCCCCUAACUGCCUCAACUAUCCUGCCAGAAACUACAAUAACUUUACCACCAACAAUCAAAGCUUCAUCACCAAAUACUACGACCCACAAACCAACUACUACAACUGUGCUGCGAACAACUACAACUUCACCAGCAACUACAACAACAAUACCACCAACUACUACAACUUUACCACCAACUACCACGACACCAACAACUUUAACAACUUCACCACCAACUAAUGCCACUUUACCACCAACUAAGGCCACUUUACCACCAACUACCAUGACUUCAAUGCCAGCAACUACAGAAAUUUCCCCACCAACUAAUGCAACCUCACCACCAACUACUUCAAGUUUCCUGCCAACAACUAAAACAACUUCAGCACCAACUACCACAGAUUUGCCCCCAAGUACCACAAAUUCACCAGCAACAACUACAACAACUUCAUCACCAAAUGCUACGACCCCCGAACCAACUACUACAACUGUGCUGCCAACAACUACAACUUCACCAGAAACGACAACAACAAUACCACUAACUACUACAACUUUACCACCAACUACCAUGACACCAACAACUACAACAACUUCAUCACCAACUACUACAACCCCCGAACCAACUACUACAACUGUGCUGCCAACAACGACAACUUCACCAGCAACUACAACAACAAUACCAGCAACUACUACAACUUUACCACCAACUACCACGACACCAACAACUUUAACAACUUCACCACCAACAAAUGCCACUUUACCACCAACUAAUGCAACUUUACCACCAACUACCGUGACUUCAAUGCCAGCAACUACAGAAAUUUCCCCACCAACUAAUGCAACCUCACCACCAACUACUUCAAGUUUCCUGCCAACAACUAAAACAACUUCAGCACCAACUACCACAGAUUUUCCCCCAAGUACCACAAAUUCACCAGCAACAACUACAACAACUUCAUCACCAAAUGCUACGACCCCCGAACCAACUACUACAACUGUGCUGCCAACAACUACAACCUCACCAGCAACUACAACAACAAUACCACUAACUACUACAACUUUACCACCAACUACCAUGACACCAACAACUACAACAACUUCACCACCAACUACUACAACCCCAGAACCAACUACUACAACUGUGCUGCCAACAACGACAACUUCACCAGCAACUACAACAACAAUACCAGCAACUACUACAACUUUACCACCAACUACCACGACACCAACAACUUUAACAACUUCACCACCAACAAAUGCCACUUUACCACCAACUAAUGCAACUUUACCACCAACUACCAUGACUUCAAUGCCAGCAACUACAGAAAUUUCCCCACCAACUAAUGCAACCUCACCACCAACUACUCCAAGUUUCCUGCCAACAACUAAAACAACUUCAGCACCAACUACCACAGAUUUGCCCCCAAGUACCACAAAUUCACCAGCAACAACUACAACAACUUCAUCACCAAAUGCUACGACCCCCGAACCAACUACUACAACUGUGCUGCCAACAACUACAACUUCACCAGCAACUACAACAACAAUACCACCAACUACUACAACUUUACCACCAACUACCACGACACCAACAACUUUAAAAACUUCACCACCAACUAAUGCCACUUUACCACUAACUAAUGCAACUUUACCACCAACUACCAUGACUUCAAUGCCAGCAACUACAGAAAUUUCCCCACCAACUAAUGCAACCUCACCACCAACUACUUCAAGUUUCCUGCCAACAACUAAAACAACUUCAGCACCAACUACCACAGAUUUUCCCCCAAGUACCACAAAUUCACCAGCAACAACUACAACAACUUCAUCACCAACUACUACAACCCCAGAACCAACUACUACAACUGUGCUGCCAACAACUACAACUUCACCAGCAACUACAAUAACAAUACCACUAACUACUACAACUUUACCACCAACUACCAUGACACCAACAACUACAACAACUUCAUCACCAACUACUACAACCCCCGAACCAACUACUACAACUGUGCUGCCAACAACGACAACUUCACCAGCAACUACAACAACAAUACCACCAACUACUACAACUUUACCACCAACUACCACGACACCAACAACUUUAAAAACUUCACCACCAACUAAUGCCACUUUACCACCAACUAAUGCAACUUUACCACCAACUACCAUGACUUCAAUGCCAGCAACUACAGAAAUUUCCCCACCAACUAAUGCAACCUCACCACCAACUACUCCAAGUUUCCUGCCAACAACUAAAACAACUUCAGCACCAACUACCACAGAUUUGCCCCCAAGUACCACAAAUUCACCAGCAACAACUACAACAACUUCAUCACCAAAUGCUACGACCCCCGAACCAACUACUACAACUGUGCUGCCAACAACUACAACCUCACCAGCAACUACAACAACAAUACCACCAACUACUACAACUUUACCACCAACUACCAUGACACCAACAACUACAACAACUUCACCACCAACUACUACAACCCCAGAACCAACUACUACAACUGUGCUGCCAACAACUACAACUUCACCAGCAACUACAAUAACAAUACCACCAACUACUACAACUUUACCACCAACAACUUUAACAACUUCACCACCAACUAAUGCAACUUUACCACUAACUACCACAACUUCAAUGCCAACAACUACAACAACUUCACCACCAACUAAUGCUACUUUACCACCAACUAAUGCAACUUUACAACCAAAAACCACGACUUCGACGCCAACAGCUACCACAACUUCACCACCAACUACUACGACACCCGAACCAACUACUACAACUUUUCUUCCAACAACGACCUUAACUUCACCCCCAACAACUACCACAACUGUCCUGCCAACACCUACAACUUCACCAGCAACUGCAACAACAAUACCACCAACUACCACAACUUUAAAACCAACAACUACAACAACUUCACCACCAACUAAUGCAAAUUCACCACCAACUAAUGCAACUUUACAACUAGUAACCACGACUUCAACACCAACAACUACAACAACUUCACCACCAACUAAUGCAACUUUACCACCAACUACCACGACUUUAACGCCAACAACUAUAACAACUUUACCACUAACCACUACAAGAGCUUCACUACCAACUACCACAAUUUCACCAACAACUACAACUUCACCACCAACAACUACCAAAACUUCACAACCAAACAUCACUAACAAAGAGUCAACAAGUCCAGGUUCUGAGGUAUUUUCUCAUGUAGGUCUACAAAUAAGGAUGACUUCCAUAGAGGAUGUCAGUCGUGAGGACAUAGAGAUCUACAUACAAGAUUUCAUCAGUGAUUUCCUGAGAGAAAAAGGCCUUAUCUUCAAUGUCAAUGUAACAAAGGUUGCAAAUAUGUAAACAGAGUUGCAGUAUUUAAAUGGUGGUGUUUAUGGGCGUUGAGUUUACAAAAACUGAUUGAGGAACUGGUUUUUUUUGUCCGUCUCAUUCACUCACUGCCUUAAGCCAUCUGCACGCAUGAUUUCUUCUUACCAGGUGUCAGAGUAUUAGAUUCCUGUUAGGUUAUAGUGAUGAAUCACAGAACUACCUAAAUGUUUUUCAUAAUCAGAUGUGAAAAUAAGAGACACUUUUCAAUGUAGUUCUAAUCUUUGAUUUGUAUGUUUUUGUGCUCUACAUCUAUUAUUUAUCGAUUGUCCAAUGGUUUCCUAUUUUUAGAGUUCAGAGAGAGGCAAAAUUAAAAGGCACAGGAUGAGUCCCACUGUGGUUAUGUACAGAACUUCAAAUGUGACACACUUUUUUUUUACUAACAUUUGUGUAUCUGACAUGUCUGACAUCAUUAAAAAAGAGGAUAAUGGAUUGGCAUCAUCAGUAUGUUUUGUAUUGUUUGUCUUUAUGACUUGUUUUUCCAUUGAGUGUGCACCAUUUACUCUUUAUUCAGCAUGUAAAAAAAACAAGACAAAACUGAAAUCUAUUAAAAGAAAACAUAUUACACCACUAAUAUUGUACUAUGAUG